CGCCAUGCCCCCACGCCGCCGCCUUCUCUCCGCACUGCAGCCCGUAUCGGCGUCUCCCACGCCUCCGUACAGUGUCCAACGGAGGGGAUCAGUGGUAAGAGUCAGUUACCUAUGUUGAAGAACUCAAACCUCGAGGAUGAUCUGAACGUUGUACAAUGGAGGGGAUCAGUGGAAGGAGAACCUGACAACUUGAAAAUCAAUCGUGAUGGUUUCUUUCAUGAAGAGAGUUGCAGUUUAUGCAGCUUGUGUUCUUUUCAAACAAGGUAAUGCACUUCACCAUAUUGAAUAAUUCUUAGGAUGCAAAUUACAUUCGAAAAGGCAUCUGGCAGUUGCUGUUGAAACAAAGGAUAGGAGCACACCGACACAAAUCCAAUCCUUAGAUGUUAGCUUUUCCUUUCUCAAAAAAUAAAAAGAUGUUAGCUCUUCCAUGUUUUCUGUAAUAGUAGCAUAGAUAAAAAGGCUGGCACGUUAAUGACAGAUCAUACUAAUGCUUAACAUAUAGACCUAUCAUGCAUAUAACCAUCUGUAAUUCCUUGAACAGCUGUUGAUCUAUGCUUUCUGAUACGUACUUUCUGAUUUGGUCCUAGCAAUUCCUUAUUAUGCAGCAAAUUAGAGUUCUAGAGGCACUUCUUUAUGUGUUCCAACUCUUUUGAAGUUACAAGGAUGGGUUGAUGGCUUGAUGCUACGAAUUGUUUGGGUCGACUCG
Long non-coding RNA from Lolium rigidum, 706 nucleotides. RefSeq lists it as uncharacterized. The transcript is spliced from 3 exons. NCBI's taxonomy places the organism in Eukaryota, Viridiplantae, Streptophyta, Magnoliopsida, Poales, Poaceae. The record is from RefSeq and is a predicted model, not a curated record.